AAAAUAAUUGCCACGACAACGAAGAACAAUUCUCCUACCUUGGAUGGCUAUAUGAGUAAAUUAUAUAUGAUCAAGUUCAAGUUGCUGAGAUUGGAGUAUGCUGGAUUACCCUCCUACAGUUAAUGGCAAACUUAUUGUUUCUUCCAAUAAGUUAAAAAGCAAAAAAAUAAAAAAUAAAUUGUUAGAUGAUUUCUAAUUUCUGUCAUUUGUGUCUACGUUAUCAUAAUUAGUGUGUUUAUUGCAAAACUAUUCAGCUACCUAGCUGUAUAAGAAAUGAAAUCUGUGUGUGUGUGUGUGUGAAUAUGUGCGGUAGUAAUAAACCUAAAUGUAAUGUCAAAGUACUCUAUCUUGGUUCUUAGACUUCCUGAUGAGAUAGAAUUUGCAUGAUUUUGGAGGCUAGGUAUGCUAAUUAUGUGGGAUAUACACUUGCAGGGUAUUUUAUUUAUUUAUUUAUUUUUGUUGGGAUUUUAUUAUUAUUUUUUUAUCAGCAAAAAAAACAUGAGCUAUUUUGUUAGGAUUUCAUAAUCAUAAUUCUAUUGAAAGAAACA
This is a non-coding RNA of Camellia sinensis, 548 nucleotides long. NCBI's taxonomy places the organism in Eukaryota, Viridiplantae, Streptophyta, Magnoliopsida, Ericales, Theaceae. The record is from RefSeq and is a predicted model, not a curated record.